CACAUGCAAGUCGAACGCAGUAGCAAUACUGAGUGGCAGACGGGUGAGUAACAUGUGGGAAUCUGCCUUGUGGUUCAGGACAACAUUGGGAAACCGAUGCUAAUACUGGAUAAGCCCUUACGGGGAAAGUUUUAAUGCCAUAAGAUGAGCCCGCAUUUGAUUAGUUAGUUGGUGAGGUAAUGGCUCACCAAGACAAUGAUCAAUAGCUGAUCUGAGAGGAUGAUCAGCCACACUGGGACUGAGACACGGCCCAGACUCCUACGGGAGGCAGCAGUGGGGAAUCUUGCACAAUGGAGGAAACUCUGAUGCAGCGAUGCCGCGUGAGUGAAGAAGGCCUUUGGGUUGUAAAGCUCUUUUGUAGGGGAAGAUAAUGACUGUACCCUAAGAAUAAGGUCCGGCUAACUUCGUGCCAGCAGCCGCGGUAAUACGAAGGGACCUAGCGUAGUUCGGAAUUACUGGGCGUAAAGCGCGCGUAGGCCGUUGAGUUAGUUAAUUGUGAAAUCCCAAAGCUUAACUUUGGAACUGCAAUUAAAACUGCUCGACUAGAGUUUGAUAGAGGAAAGCGGAAUACAUAGUGUAGAGGUGAAAUUCGUAGAUAUUAUGUAGAACACCAGUUGCGAAGGCGGCUUUCUGGAUCAACACUGACGCUGAGGCGCGAAAGUAUGGGUAGCAAAGAGGAUUAGAUACCCUCGUAGUCCAUACCAUAAACGAUGAUUGCUAGAUGUUGGAAAUUUAUUUUCAGUAUCGCAGCUAACGCAUUAAGCAAUCCGCCUGGGGAGUACGACCGCAAGGUUAAAACUCAAAUGAAUUGACGGA
Molecule: ribosomal RNA, 816 nt
Filed under: uncultured Pseudomonadota bacterium
Lineage: Bacteria; Pseudomonadati; Pseudomonadota
Description: bacterial SSU rRNA
Rfam family: Bacterial small subunit ribosomal RNA
Source: RNAcentral